This 431-nucleotide ribosomal RNA is filed under the name Aplysina cavernicola. Its description in RNAcentral is "eukaryotic LSU rRNA". The stretch from base 1 to 105 matches the Rfam family "5.8S ribosomal RNA", at positions 51 to 154 of the family's 154-position model. Lineage: Eukaryota; Metazoa; Porifera; Demospongiae; Verongiida; Aplysinidae. The record is from RNAcentral.
CAAUGCGAUACCUAGUGCGAAUUGCAGAAUUCAGUGAAUCAUCGAGUCUUUGAACGCAAAUGGCGUUCUCGGGGUCUUCCCGAGAGCACGUCUGCCUGAGUGCCCGUUUCCUGUGGCCGCUGCAGUUGCCUGCAGCGGCGAGUUGAAGCGUCGCCCUGCCCAGUCGGGUGGGGCGUCCCUUGAAAGAGGGCAGGCAAAUGCUGCAAGGUCUGCAUGGUGGGCUUAGUCACAGAAUGGGGUAUUGUAAGUGGUGGGCUUAGUCACAGAAUGGGGUACUGUAAGUGGUGUAAAGCGACUGAGCCACUGUCGAUGUGUCCUGCACCCCCCCCGGUCGGCGUGUCCUUGUGGAUUGAAGCGACGGAUGACGUGGCACCACCAAUGUGGGCCUCAGGUCAGAUGAGGCGACCCGCUGAAUUUAAGCAUAUUAAUAA